UAGCUUGCUACUUGCUGACGACCGGCGCACGGGUGCGUAACGCGUAUAGAACCUACCUUUUACAGGAGAAUAGCCCAGAGAAAUUUGGAUUAAUGCUCCAUAGUAUUAUAAAAUGGCAUCAUUUAAUAAUUAAAGCUUCGGCGGUAAAAGAUGGCUAUGCGUUCUAUUAGCUAGAUGGUAAGGUAACGGCUUACCAUGGCAACGAUAGAUAGGGGUCCUGAGAGGGAGAUCCCCCACACUGGUACUGAGACACGGACCAGACUCCUACGGGAGGCAGCAGUGAGGAAUAUUGGACAAUGGAGGUAACUCUGAUCCAGCCAUGCCGCGUGCAGGAAGACGGCCCUAUGGGUUGUAAACUGCUUUUAUACAGGAAGAAACCUUUUCACGUGUGAAAAGCUGACGGUACUGUAAGAAUAAGCACCGGCUAACUCCGUGCCAGCAGCCGCGGUAAUACGGAGGGUGCAAGCGUUAUCCGGAAUCAUUGGGUUUAAAGGGUCCGUAGGCGGACUAAUAAGUCAGGGGUGAAAUACUACAGCUUAACUGUGGAACUGCCUUUGAUACUGUUAGUCUUGAAUUAUAUGGAAGUAGAUAGAAUGUGUAGUGUAGCGGUGAAAUGCUUAGAGAUUACACAGAAUACCGAUUGCGAAGGCAGUCUACUACGUAUAUAUUGACGCUAAUGGACGAAAGCGUGGGGAGCGAACAGGAUUAGAUACCCUGGUAGUCCACGCCGUAAACGAUGGACACUAGUUGUUGGAUUUAUUCAGUGACUAAGCGAAAGUGAUAAGUGUCCCACCUGGGGAGUACGAACGCAAGUUUGAAACUCAAAGGAAUUGACGGGGGCCC
RNAcentral lists this ribosomal RNA (843 nucleotides) under Lutibacter sp. RNAcentral's name for it is "bacterial SSU rRNA". It matches the Rfam family "Bacterial small subunit ribosomal RNA", at positions 76 to 922 of the family's 1533-position model. Lineage: Bacteria; Pseudomonadati; Bacteroidota; Flavobacteriia; Flavobacteriales; Flavobacteriaceae. The record is from RNAcentral.